AUUGAACGCUGGCGGCAGGCUUAACACAUGCAAGUCGAGCGAGCGGCGGACGGGAGGGUAAUGUCUGUGAAACUGCGUGAUGGAGGGGGAUAGCUACUGGAAACGGUAGCCAAUACCGCCUACCUUAAGAUGUGUCCAGAUGGGAUUAGCUAGUGGGUGGGGUAAAGGCUCACCAAGGCGACGAACCCUAGCUGGUCUGAGAGGAUGACCAGCCACACUGGAACUGAGACACGGUCCAGACUCCUACGGGAGGCAGCAGUGGGGAAUAUUGGACAAUGGGCGAAAGCCUGAUGCAGCCAUGCCGCGUGUGUGAAGAAGGCCUUCGGGUUGUAAAGCACUUUCAGCGGGGAGGCGUUACUCGCAGAAGAAGCACCGGCUAACUCCGUGCCAGCAGCCGCGGUAAUUC
This 406-nucleotide ribosomal RNA is filed under the name uncultured bacterium. RNAcentral describes it as "partial 16S ribosomal RNA". It matches the Rfam family "Bacterial small subunit ribosomal RNA", at positions 30 to 526 of the family's 1533-position model. The record is from RNAcentral.